AUUGAACGCUGGCGGCAGGCCUAACACAUGCAAGUCGAACGGAGUGGCGAACGGGUGAGUAACACGUCGGUGAACUGCCCUGUACUUCGGGAUAAGCUUGGGAAACUGGGUCUAAUACCGGAGAGUAUGUGAUGAGCUCGCGGCCUAUGAGCUUUUUGGGGGGGUAAAGGCCUACCAAGGCGUCGACGGUUAGCCGACCUGAGAGGGUGUACGGCCUCAUUGGGACUGGGAUACGGCGCAGACUCGUACGGUGGGCAGCAGUGGGGAAUAGUGCACAAUGGGCGCAAGCCUGUUGCAGCGACGCCGCGUGGGGGAUGAAGUCCUUCGGGUUGUAAACUCCUUUCGCUAGGGACGCGGUACCUGGAGAAGAAGCACCGGCUAACUACGUGCCAGCAGCCGCGGUAAUUC
Molecule: ribosomal RNA, 408 nt
Filed under: uncultured bacterium
Lineage: Bacteria
Description: partial 16S ribosomal RNA
Rfam family: Bacterial small subunit ribosomal RNA
Source: RNAcentral